ACUGCUCAGUAACACGUGGACAACUGCCAUAGGACGGGGAUAAACCCGGGAAACUGGGUAUAAUACCCGAUAGGUCUCGAUUGCUGGAAUGCAUCGAGAUUUAAAGCUCCGGCGCCUAAGGAUGGGUCUGCGGCCUAUCAGGUAGUAGUGGGUGUAGCGUACCUACUAGCCUACGACGGGUACGGGUUGUGAGAGCAAGAGCCCGGAGAUGGAUUCUGAGACACGAAUCCAGGCCCUACGGGGUGCAGCAGGCGCGAAAACUUUACAAUGCUGGCAACAGCGAUAAGGGAACCUCGAGUGCCAGGUUACAAAUCUGGCUGUCGAGAUGCCUAAAAAGCAUUUCAUAGCAAGGGCCGGGCAAGACCGGUGCCAGCCGCCGCGGUAACACCGGCGGCUCGAGUGGUAACCGUUAUUAUUGGGUCUAAAGGGUCUGUAGCCGGCCGGAUAAGUCUCUUGAGAAAUCUGGCAGCUUAACUGUCAGGCUUUCAGGAGAUACUGUCUGGCUCGAGGCCGGGAGAGGUGAGAGGUACUUCAGGGGUAGGGGUGAAAUCUUGUAAUCCUUGAAGGACCACCAGUGGCGAAGGCGUCUCACCAGAACGGACCUGACGGCAAGGGACGAAAGCUAGGGGCACGAACCGGAUUAGAUACCCGGGUAGUCCUAGCCGUAAACGAUACUCGCUAGGUGUCGGCCACGGUGCGACCGUUGUCGGUGCCGUAGGGAAGCCGUGAAGCGAGCCACCUGGGAAGUACGGCCGCAAGGCUGAAACUUAAAGGAAUUGGCGGGGGAGCAC
This 791-nucleotide ribosomal RNA is filed under the name uncultured archaeon. RNAcentral's name for it is "bacterial SSU rRNA". It matches the Rfam family "Archaeal small subunit ribosomal RNA", at positions 85 to 879 of the family's 1478-position model. The record is from RNAcentral.